RNAcentral lists this ribosomal RNA (467 nucleotides) under Agromyces. RNAcentral's name for it is "bacterial SSU rRNA". It matches the Rfam family "Bacterial small subunit ribosomal RNA", at positions 939 to 1405 of the family's 1533-position model. The record is from RNAcentral. Lineage: Bacteria; Bacillati; Actinomycetota; Actinomycetes; Micrococcales; Microbacteriaceae.
AUGCGGAUUAAUUCGAUGCAACGCGAAGAACCUUACCAAGGCUUGACAUAACCGAGAACGCCGCAGAAAUGUGGAACUCUUUGGACACUCGGUUACAGGUGGUGCAUGGUUGUCGUCAGCUCGUGUCGUGAGAUGUUGGGUUAAGUCCCGCAACGAGCGCAACCCUCGUCGCAUGUUGCCAGCACGUCAUGGUGGGAACUCAUGUGAGACUGCCGGGGUCAACUCGGAGGAAGGUGGGGAUGACGUCAAAUCAUCAUGCCCCUUAUGUCUUGGGCUUCACGCAUGCUACAAUGGCCGGUACAAAGGGCUGCGAUGUCGUAAGGCGGAGCGAAUCCCAAAAAGCCGGUCUCAGUUCGGAUUGAGGUCUGCAACUCGACCUCAUGAAGUCGGAGUCGCUAGUAAUCGCAGAUCAGCAACGCUGCGGUGAAUACGUUCCCGGGCCUUGUACACACCGCCCGUCAAGUCAU